GAUGAACGCUGGCGGCGUGCCUAAUACAUGCAAGUCGAGCGAACGGACGAGAAGCUUGCUUCUCUGAUGUUAGCGGCGGACGGGUGAGUAACACGUGGAUAACCUACCUAUAAGACUGGGAUAACUUCGGGAAACCGGAGCUAAUACCGGAUAAUAUUUUGAACCGCAUGGUUCAAAAGUGAAAGACGGUCUUGCUGUCACUUAUAGAUGGAUCCGCGCUGCAUUAGCUAGUUGGUAAGGUAACGGCUUACCAGGGCAACGAUGCAUAGCCGACCUGAGAGGGUGAUCGGCCACACUGGAACUGAGACACGGUCCAGACUCCUACGGGAGGCAGCAGUAGGGAAUCUUCCGCAAUGGGCGAAAGACUGACGGAGCAACGCCGCGUGAGUGAUGAAGGUCCUCGGAUCGUAAAACUCUGUUAUUAGGGAAGAACAUAUGUGUAAGUAACUGUGCACAUCUUGACGGUACCUAAUCAGAAAGCCACGGCUAACUACGUG
This 497-nucleotide ribosomal RNA is filed under the name uncultured bacterium. RNAcentral's name for it is "partial 16S ribosomal RNA". It matches the Rfam family "Bacterial small subunit ribosomal RNA", at positions 28 to 507 of the family's 1533-position model. The record is from RNAcentral.